Molecule: ribosomal RNA, 1716 nt
Filed under: Triticum aestivum (bread wheat)
Lineage: Eukaryota; Viridiplantae; Streptophyta; Magnoliopsida; Poales; Poaceae
Description: partial small subunit ribosomal RNA
Source: RNAcentral
AUGCCACCCAACUUGUUUAGGGUUCAACUGGUUCGGGUGCUGCCAGGCUGCGACGACUUGUUACCUCCGAUUCGACCCGUCGGGGCCGACGAUGAUGACGUGAUGACCCUCAGCGCCUGCCUGAGCUGGCCCCUGCUUUGGCCGAAGAUCCAGAUUCGUUUGGGGGCGGGGGACACCACCCCAAAGACAACACCGCCAGUCGUGCCGGCGCCAAGUCGGCCCCAUGGCAAGACCGUCGUAACAGUGCCGGACAUCCCUAUGCCACUGGAUCCAAACAUGCAUAUGGCACAGGAUCAGAACGACGACGACGACGACGAUACAUUUGGCAACGUCGAUCAGUACUUUGCCGAGCAUGGGUACGAUGGCGACUUCAUGGGGCCUCCUUCUCAAGAACCAAACCCAACAAAAGACGUGUGCGAUCUAGCUCGUACCGCGGAGAAGCCAAGUUGCAACAGGCGCCGUCUGGCGUUCAGCUCUCAGGAGACGCCUCCAGCUGCCGACUUCACCGAGCCUCAGAUAGGCGAGGUGCGAAAUAUUAUCAGCCCCAACACACUCAAGAAGGCGGUCUGUGAGCAGAACUCGGUCCCAUUACAGGAGAAGAAGAAGGCACGCAAAAGAAAGACUAAGAAGGGUGCGAGCCAGCCGGCACCGAGUACGAUCCGUGCUCAGGACGGGCCACCUUCACCGCAGGAUAUCUCGAGGAGGGUGCAUGUGGCGGGUAGGGCGAUGCUAUCACCAAAUAUGCUCAAUGCUGCAACCGGUGCUAUGCGGAGUCUGCACGACAGUGUUCUUUCUUUGGAGAAGCGGCGUCUCAGAGAGAAGGAUGUGGCAUACCCGGUUUUCGUGGCCAAGGUGCCAGAGGGCAAGGGCUUUGUGGAUGGCGACAUCGGGGGUACGAUCGUCCUGCGGUUUGAUGACAUCUUUGCUAUGUUUAACCUUCAUCCGCUGCACUACACCUUCGUUCGGCUAUUUUCGCUGAGUAUGGAGAUGCGGAUCAUUCGCGACAAGACCCCGGACAUCGUGAUAGUCGACCCCUUCUACAUGCGUGCCAAGAUCUUGGGCAGCGCUGGGGACCGGCAAGUCGCGAGUUCUUACCUCGAAGGCGUCAUUCUGGCAAACCAAGAUAAGGAUAACUUCCUCGUGCCUUACUUUCCCGACGACACAUGUUGCACGCUCAUCCUCCUAAGCCCCAAAUAUUCCAUGGCCACGUAUUUCGACCCGGACCAUCAGUCGAACGUAGACUACACAAAUGUCAAGAAGGUUCUUGAUGAUGUUCUCCCCGGCUACGCCCAAUCUGGAGGCACCUUCACCAGGCCUAUUCGUAAGUACGGCAAGCACGUGUUCUCCCACAAUACGACGUUCUGUUGCGUCAAGCAGCCGCCUGGCGGUCAGAAGGGUGCCUACUACGCCAUCCAUCACAUGCGGGCGAUCGUACGGGACCAUCAUCAACUUCUGCUACCGAGUAAACUCCAAGAUUGGGCCGCGAGCGUGUCGGCAAUCCAGGACGCGGACCUCCGACAAGAAUUCUUUCGCAUCCAGUCGGAGUUUGCGGAAAUCAUCCAUCAAGAUGUCCUUCGUACCUCGGGGCAGUUCUACCUCAGAAAUCAACCGUCCAACAGUGACAUCGACACAAUGCUACAAAUGCAGGAUGACAACGCCUGUUCUUUCAUGACUCCCACGAUAGACGGUGGCUUCAUCCACGCUCCGGUCCCUUGA